This 76-nucleotide non-coding RNA is filed under the name unclassified sequences. The record is from RNAcentral.
UACUGCGCCGAGUGUGUAAGCGGAAACGCCCACAAAAGUUUGUGUUAUAACUUUGAACAACUCGUAGCGCAGUUUU